CCUAAGGGAAGUGUGGAACACCAUCAUGUGGUCAACUCCAAUGUCAAAGUAAGAAGAAGGAGUAUAAGAGAACUUAACCUACUGUGUCUGAGUGAGAAAGAAAAAAUCUGUAUACUCUCAUAAGUAGUAAGGCAACUGGAGCAGCAAUCAAAAAAAAAAAAAAUCCUAGAACAAAGACCAGGAACACAUGCAUAACUCAUAAGCACUGUACAAUUCUACUCAAUGUUGAAUGAAGAAUUAACAAUUCUCAAACAAUUCCAAAUAAGUGAAGAAGAGGAAACAACAAAAAACAAUUGUAUGAUACCACCCUUAGUCUGACACCACCCAAGCAAAUAUAUGACAAGGAAACAAAAGUGUAAGAUAUUAUUCGUGAUAAACACUGAUGCAAAAGCCCUCAACAAAAUACUAGGAAACCAAAUUGUAAAGACAUUAACAGGAUUAUAGUCCAUGACCAAGUGGACUACACACUGGGAAGACAAGAGUGGUUCAACAGAAGAAAGUCAAUGUAAUACACCACACUGACAUGGUGAAGGACCAAAACCACAUGCUCAUCUCAAUCGGUGCAAAAAAAAGUUAUUUGACAAAAUUCAACAUAGUUCAUGAUAAAAAUGCUCAACAAUUCGGGCACGGUGGCUCACUCAGCAGUACUCUUAAACGCCAAUAAUGUUCAAGCUGAGAAACACAUCAUCAAGAAUGCAAUCCUAUUAAAAAUAGCCACACCCCCCAAAAAAUGACUAGGAGUAUGUCUAACCAAGGUUGUGAACUAUCUCUAUGAGGAGAACUACAAAAUACCAGUGAAAGAAAUCAGACAACACGAACAAAUGGAAAAGCAUUUCAUGCUCAUGGGUUGAAAGAAUCAAUAUCAAUGAAAUGUCCAAACUGCCCAAAGCAAUCUAUAGAUUCAACAGUAUUCCUAUUAAAUGACCAACAUCACUUUUCACAGAAUUAGAAAAAACUUCUAAAAUGUAUAUGAAAGCAAAAAAGAGCUCAAAGAGCCAAGACAAUCCUAAGCAAAAGGAAUAAAGCUGGAUGCAUCACAUUACCUGACUUCAAACCAUAUUGCAAGGCUACAGUAAACAAAACAGCAUGGUACUGGUAUAAAAACAGACACAUAUACCAAUGGAAUAGAACAGAGACCCCUAAAAUAAAGGCCCACACCUCCAACCAACUGAUCUUCAAGAAAAUCAACAAAAAUAAACAAUGAGGAAAGGAUACCCUAUUCAAUAAGUGGUGCUGGGAAAACUGGCUAAACAUAUGCAGAAGAAUGAAACUGGAUCCCUAUCUCUCACCAUAUAAAAAAAUUAACUUGAGAUGGAUUAAAUACUUAAUAUAAGACCUCCAACUAUAAAAAUCUUAAAA
This 1359-nucleotide long non-coding RNA is filed under the name Homo sapiens (human). Its description in RNAcentral is "HSALNT0262004". The record is from RNAcentral. Lineage: Eukaryota; Metazoa; Chordata; Mammalia; Primates; Hominidae.